This 468-nucleotide ribosomal RNA is filed under the name uncultured bacterium. RNAcentral describes it as "partial 16S ribosomal RNA". It matches the Rfam family "Bacterial small subunit ribosomal RNA", at positions 28 to 507 of the family's 1533-position model. The record is from RNAcentral.
GACGAACGCUGGCGGCGUGCUUAACACAUGCAAGUCGAACGGAAAGGCCCUGCUUUUGUGGGGUGCUCGAGUGGCGAACGGGUGAGUAACACGUGAGUAACCUGCCCUUUACUUUGGGAUAACUUCAGGAAACUGGGGCUAAUACCGGAUAGGAGCUCCUGCUGCAUGGUGGGGGUUGGAACGUUUCGGCGGUUGGGGUUGGACUCGCGGCUUAUCAGCUUGUUGGUGGGGUAGUGGCUUACCAAGGCUUUGACGGGUAGCCGGCCUGAGAGGGUGACCGGCCACAUUGGGACUGAGAUACGGCGCAGACUCCUACGGGAGGCAGCAGGGGGGAAUAUUGCACAAUGGGCGGAAGCCUGAUGCAGCAACGCCGCGUGCGGGAUGACGGCCUUCGGGUUGUAAACCGCUUUCGCCUGUGACGAAGCGUGAGUGACGGUAAUGGGUAAAGAAGCACCGGCUAACUACGUG